UGGGAACAGAUGUAGAGAGGGUAAACUUUAUUACAAGGAAUGAGGAAAAUGGAACUGAUUUUGACAAGGGCCAUUGUCAAUCAUUAGUUCACAUGACAGCCAUGAAGGCACACAAUGAGCCUCGUGUAAGCAUCAGGUACUACAUUUAGGAAGAGAGAUGGUGGUGGUGUCUCAAGACAUUCAAGGUGCUCAGUGAGUGCAGACUAUGCAGAAGAAGUGACACAGAAGCCUGAUGGAGGUGAUGAUACCCAGUGGCCAUGGGACUUUGUCAGCAAAGGCAGUGAUAAACAGCAUGAGAGUAAGGAUGCAGUGGCCAGAAGAGGCAGCCCAGGGAAGAUCUGAGGUGAACCCUCUGGUUGGAAAGGCUUGGCAAAUUGGAGGAACAAAAAGAAAAAAUAGUAAAUCUACAACAAGGAUCAGCAAACUCCAGUC
This 432-nucleotide long non-coding RNA is filed under the name Pan troglodytes (chimpanzee). Its description in RNAcentral is "long non-coding RNA NONPTRT001167". Lineage: Eukaryota; Metazoa; Chordata; Mammalia; Primates; Hominidae. The record is from RNAcentral.